UCCUUGGAGCUCCUGCAGUGCAACCCUUCCCCCAGCACUGCCAAGGACACCCAUGCCCCCAGGUGCCAGGUCUCUGUGGGUCUUGGACACUUCCAGGAAUGGUGGGGAUUCCAACACUUCCCUGUGACGUGCGGAGUAAGGAAAUGGUCAUGGCAGCAUUCCAUGGAUCUGGAGAGUGCCAGUUUCAAAGCCAUUUUCACUGGAAAAACAUGGAAAAGGAACAUUUUGCUGGAAGGAAAUCAGCUGGGAUUCCAGGCAUAGGCAUGGGUUAAGAUUUCCCUCGGCCAGGCUGAGGCAGCUGGGAUCUGCCCACAAGGAUCCAUCUGGCAGCUGCCAGGCCCCAUUCCCACCAUCCUGGAAGUGCCAUCUGGCUCAUCCAUGCCCUGGAUCCCACACGGAUCCCACUUGGAACUGGGCUGGCCUGAACCUCCCUUAUCAAUAUGGAACACUCCCAAUAACUGAUGCAGGCAAAGCAAUCAAUUACAGCACCAAGAAGGGACAACAGAAAGGUGUGAAUGGAAAAACAGCCAUAGGAGUGUGGGACUUCUUCCCAAGUUUCUGGAGCUGUACAUGGAUUUUUGGUGCAGGAAGAACCUCCCCUUUGCAAACCUUGGGAGCUUCACCACUGGAAUAGAAACAAAUCCAGGAUGGAUCCCCUUUAUUUGCCAGGAAAAGGCAAUGUUGAACCCAUGGUGCGGCAUUUCCUGUGCCCCUGCUUUGGACAAACUUCCCAGCCAUUCCCAAUUCACACCAAUGAACCAAACAGAUGGAGCUGGUCCUUUGUUAAUCUUCCUCUGGAUUUGUCUGGGGCUUGCUCUAAUUGAUUCUGAGCUGAGCUUCCAUUCUCCAGGAGGGAAAAAUAAAAUCAAAUUUCCAGAUUUAACUCCAGUGCAUCAAUUCCAUUUCCAGGGGUUUUGGGGUUUGAUUUCCUUGGAUAAUUUCCUGGCACUCUGGGUUUGGAGCAGGAGCAGAUUGCUGCAGUGAUGCUCCGGAGGUGUGCAGGGACACAUCUGCAGUCUGUACCCACCUCACCCUAGGCUAAGGCUUUGGAAAAACAGGAUUUUUAUAAGUUGUCCCCUAGAAUCCUGGAAUUCUUCAGGUUGGAAAAGCCCUCUGUGAUCACCAAGUCCAACCAGCAGCGUAUUCCCCACUAAUCCAUGUCCCCAAGUGCCACAUCCACAG
This is a long non-coding RNA of Passer domesticus (house sparrow), 1182 nucleotides long. RefSeq lists it as uncharacterized. The record is from RefSeq and is a predicted model, not a curated record. NCBI's taxonomy places the organism in Eukaryota, Metazoa, Chordata, Aves, Passeriformes, Passeridae. The transcript is spliced from 4 exons.